Long non-coding RNA from Xyrauchen texanus (razorback sucker), 1168 nucleotides. RefSeq lists it as uncharacterized. The transcript is spliced from 5 exons. The record is from RefSeq and is a predicted model, not a curated record. NCBI's taxonomy places the organism in Eukaryota, Metazoa, Chordata, Actinopteri, Cypriniformes, Catostomidae.
CUAUAUUUACUGUCAUUAUCACAUUCAGAAUAAAUGAGUUCAUGCAAAAGCUGAAAAUAAGAUGCAUUUCUAACUGUUCCGAGACCAGUGCAGACAGACGGCACACUGGAGGUUAAGUCAUGCACUAAAUAGGGAGCAAGGGAGUAUCCUAUAGCUCUCCUAUAACUGUUCUGAGACCAGUGCAGACAGACAGCACACUGGAGGUUAAGUCAUGCACUAAAUAGGGAGCAAGGGAGUAUCCUAUAGCUCUCCUAUAACUGUUCUGAGACCAGUGCAGACAGACGGCACACUGGAGGUUAAGUCAUGCACUAAAUAGGGAGCAAGGGAGUAUCCUAUAGCUCUCUAUAACUGUUCUGAGACCAGUGCAGACAGACGGCACACUGGAGGUUAAGUCAUGCACUAAAUAGGGAGCAAGGGAGUAUCCUAUAGCUCUCCUAUAACUGUUCUGAGACCAGUGCAGACAGACAGCACACUGGAGGUUAAGUCAUGCACUAAAUAGGGAGCAAGGGAGUAUCCUAUAGCUCUCCUAUAACUGUUCUGAGACCAGUGCAGACAGACGGCACACUGGAGGUUAAGUCAUGCACUAAAUAGGGAGCAAGGGAGUAUCCUAUAGCUCUCUAUAACUGUUCUGAGACCAGUGCAGACAGACGGCACACUGGAGGUUAAGUCAUGCACUAAAUAGGGAGCAAGGGAGUAUCCUAUAGCUCUCCUAUAACUGUUCUGAGACCAGUGCAGACAGACAGCACACUGGAGGUUAAGUCAUGCACUAAAUAGGGAGCAAGGGAGUAUCCUAUAGCUCUCCUAUAACUGUUCUGAGACCAGUGCAGACAGACGGCACACUGGAGGUUAAGUCAUGCACUAAAUAGGGAGCAAGGGAGUAUCCUAUAGCUCUCUAUAACUGUUCUGAGACCAGUGCAGACAGACGGCACACUGGAGGUUAAGUCAUGCACUAAAUAGGGAGCAAGGGAGCAUCCUAUAGCUCUCCUAUAACUGUUCUGAGACCAGUGCAGACAGACAGCACACUGGAGGUUAAAUCAUUCACUAAAUAGGGAGCAAGGGAGUACCUAUAGCUCUCCUAUAACUGUUCUGAGACCAGUGCAGACAGACAGCACACUGGAGGUUAAGUCAUGCACUAAAUAGGGAGCAAGGGAGCAUCCUAUAGUUCUCC